Long non-coding RNA from Neocloeon triangulifer, 703 nucleotides. RefSeq lists it as uncharacterized. The record is from RefSeq and is a predicted model, not a curated record. The transcript has 2 exons. NCBI's taxonomy places the organism in Eukaryota, Metazoa, Arthropoda, Insecta, Ephemeroptera, Baetidae.
GCGUUAAAGAUAGAAAAAUUGGAAAAAUUGAAGAUAAUAUUCCUGGCCAUUUAUUUUUUCCUCCGCCAAGAGAAGAGUGUUCGCGCGCCGUGUCAGGUGCACGGCGCGUUUGCAGCCAAUCAGCGGCUGGCUGGCUGUUUGCCACUGGUCCUUAGAGCAGGCAGCAGGUGGCAGCAGGCGAGCCAGGCGAGGCGCACCCGCACCGUAGCACUCGUAGCAGCCAAGCCAACAAAAAUAUAAACAAAACAAACAAACACCCAAAAUUUGGUUUGUGAUUUUCUUUUGCGAUUUUACAAUUAUUUUGGUAUUCUGGGCGCAUUAUACGCGAAAUAAUUUGUACGCCAUGGAAACAGAGCAACUCGCUUUUUAUCACGAAUCCCUGCGAUGCCUCAAAUUCAAGGAAAAACCAGGCUCUCCCGAGAUCGAGUCGCAACUUCAUGUUUCCGAUCAGGAAAGGGAAAUAUAAUGACGGAGGUUUUGGAGACCACUGAAAUGCAGUUCUACGAUGGCUGAAAGUAAAAUACUGAUCCUGGACGACCUCUGGACUGAUUAAUGUAUUUUUCAUCUAUAAUCCAAGACCUGACAAGCUUGUCCGCAGCUACGUACAUGUAGAAUAUCCCAAACUUUAUUUGGCAAGUGAGAUGUAAAUAAAUUUAUUUUGUUUGUAAAUCAUAAAUUAAAAUAAAAAUUAUGUUUAACUAGU